This 822-nucleotide small RNA is filed under the name Pongo abelii (Sumatran orangutan). RNAcentral's name for it is "processed transcript". Lineage: Eukaryota; Metazoa; Chordata; Mammalia; Primates; Hominidae. The record is from RNAcentral.
CUUUGCUGGCGCUGGUUCCUCAUCCGUCUCAUGCUCUCUGGGGCCCUGGCCUUCGCUGGCGCUGGCACACGGCGCAGCAGGAGACCAACAAGACUAUCGCAGCCAGCGCCAGCUCCGUGAAGCAGAUGGCCGAGCUGCUGCGCAGCUCCUGCCCGUGCAGCAGGAGCGUCCUCAGCUGGACCGGCUGAAAACCCAGCUCUCAGAUGCCAUUCAGUGCUAUGGAGUGGUGCAGAAGAAAAUUGCAGAAAAGUCCAGAGCGCUGCUUCCCAUGGCGCAGAGGGGCAGUAAACAGAGUCCCCGGGCCCCGUCUGCCGAGCUGGCUGAUGAUGAGAGGGUCUUUAAUGGGAGUGACAACACGUGGCAGGGCCAGGAGCAGGCGCUGCUCCCGGACAUCACUGAGGAGGACCUGGAGGCCAUCCGGCUGAGGGAGGAGGCCAUCCUGCAGAUGGAGGUGAGGCUGGCGUGGGCAAGGGUGCUCACUCUCCACGCUUCACAUGAGGCCAGGGACCAGGGGAGCCCAGGUGCCAGCCUUGCUGCACCAUUGCUUGCCCUUGGCCUGGAGGGGCUGGAACUAGGCCUCUGUGGCCUUGCCCUUUCUAACCACCUCUCUCUGGCCAUCUGGUCCAAUAAGGGAGAGACAGGGGUCUGGGAGCCCCAUCCCCAUCCCCUCCUUCCUGGGUUUCCCUAAUAGGGCACAGCCCUCUGGCCAGGAGCUGGGGUCUAUGCUGGGGUAGCCUCUCAGUCACCAUGGCCAUUUCAUUUGCUGUGUGGUUAGACUUCCAGGAGGCUGUUUAGCUCUAAUGAAGAUGAUUUGGUGCUUAA